RNAcentral lists this ribosomal RNA (192 nucleotides) under uncultured bacterium. Its description in RNAcentral is "partial 16S ribosomal RNA". It matches the Rfam family "Bacterial small subunit ribosomal RNA", at positions 1307 to 1500 of the family's 1533-position model. The record is from RNAcentral.
GCAACUCGCCUGCAUGAAGUCGGAAUUGCUAGUAAUCGCGGAUCAGCAUGCCGCGGUGAAUACGUUCCCGGGCCUUGUACACACCGCCCGUCACACCAUGGGAGUCGGUAGCACCCGAAGCCGAUAGUCUAACGAAAGAGGACGUCGUCGAAGGUGGGAUUGAUGACUGGGGUGAAGUCGUAACAAGGUAGC